Molecule: ribosomal RNA, 106 nt
Filed under: Triticum aestivum (bread wheat)
Lineage: Eukaryota; Viridiplantae; Streptophyta; Magnoliopsida; Poales; Poaceae
Source: RNAcentral
GGAUGCGAUCAUAGCAGCACUAAAGCACCGGAUCCCAUCAGAACUCCGAAGUUAAGCGUUCUUGGGUGAGAGUAGUACUAGGAUGGGUGACCUCGUGUUGCAUUCC